GUGGGGAAUAUUGGACAAUGGGGGGAACCCUGAUCCAGCGACGCCGCGUGAGUGAAGAAGUAUUUCGGUAUGUAAAGCUCUAUCAGCAGGGAAGAAAGAAAUGACGGUACCUGACUAAGAAGCCCCGGCUAACUACGUGCC
RNAcentral lists this ribosomal RNA (141 nucleotides) under uncultured bacterium. Its description in RNAcentral is "partial 16S ribosomal RNA". It matches the Rfam family "Bacterial small subunit ribosomal RNA", at positions 354 to 509 of the family's 1533-position model. The record is from RNAcentral.